CAGUGGGAAAGAAAGAAUUUUGGAUCUAAUUUUUUAAUAGAAAAAAAGUUCUUCUAGAUUCAACACUAAAAUGAAAAUAGAUUUUUUUAUAUACCUUACUAUCUAGAUUAACUCCACCCGAGAGGAAUGCAUAACUAAAUAAAUAAAUUGGAACGAGUUCUAAACAUCGAGAGAUUGUUUUUUAAUCAGUUUAUAGAAUCUUAUACAAAUAUUUAUUAAAUUCAAAGAGAGAGAUAACAGUUGUUAAAUUGUUAAAAUUAUUUAGUUAGCGAUUGUUAUAUAAGUCAUUAAGAAGAAUGUAGAAGUUCUUCUCGGUAUAAUAGAUUUUACCUUAGCAAUGCGACUUCACUUCUUUACGACCUAUCCAGAACUAUUCUAGAAAAUGAAGUGCCACCGUCGUAAAAGACAACAGCAACAUCACAGAUUGCCUACGACGUACAGAUUUACCGCAAUGUCGCCCUAUUUAAUCGCUCCAUGAAGUGGAGAUUUGAGAGUUUUCAAAAGUUAGAAUUCCAACCAUCCCCAGAUCACGUGAUGCAGAUGGACCGGCUACGGAGAUAUCUCUCUCUCUCUCUCUUCGUUAAUGCUGUUAUCUCCGCAAUAGUAUUUUAUUUUAUUAUUAUUAUUUUUCUUUUUUUUGUUUUCCUUCUUUCUUUUUCUAAAGAGAAGAAUAUUUUAAUUAAAAUUCCUG
RNAcentral lists this long non-coding RNA (691 nucleotides) under Androctonus crassicauda. The record is from RNAcentral. Lineage: Eukaryota; Metazoa; Arthropoda; Arachnida; Scorpiones; Buthidae.